CCUACGGGAGGCAGCAGUGAGGAAUAUUGGACAAUGGGCGCAAGCCUGAUCCAGCCAUGCCGCGUGCAGGAUGACGGUCCUAUGGAUUGUAAACUGCUUUUGCACAGGAAGAAACAACGCUACGUGUAGCGUCUUGACGGUACUGUGAGAAUAAGGAUCGGCUAACUCCGUGCCAGCAGCCGCGGUAAUACGGAGGAUCCAAGCGUUAUCCGGAAUCAUUGGGUUUAAAGGGUCCGUAGGCGGUUUAGUAAGUCAGUGGUGAAAGCCCAUCGCUCAACGGUGGAACGGCCAUUGAUACUGCUAGACUUGAAUUAUUAGGAAGUAACUAGAAUAUGUAGUGUAGCGGUGAAAUGCUUAGAGAUUACAUGGAAUACCAAUUGCGAAGGCAGGUUACUACUAAUGGAUUGACGCUGAUGGACGAAAGCGUGGGUAGCGAACAGGAUUAGAUACCCUGGUAGUCCACGCCGUAAACGAUGGAUACUAGCUGUUGGGAGCGAUCUCAGUGGCUAAGCGAAAGUGAUAAGUAUCCCACCUGGGGAGUACGUUCGCAAGAAUGAAACUUAAAGGAAUUGAGG
Molecule: ribosomal RNA, 575 nt
Filed under: uncultured bacterium
Lineage: Bacteria
Description: bacterial SSU rRNA
Rfam family: Bacterial small subunit ribosomal RNA
Source: RNAcentral